AAUUGAAUAGUCGCGUAUAGCAAUACUGAAAAGUAGCGUACGAGGAAAGUCCGGGCUCCAAAGAGCAAUGAUGCUGGAUAACGUCCAGUGAGGGAAACCUUAAGGAAAGUGCAACAGAAAAUAACCGCCUAUUUAUAGGCAAGGGUGAAAAGGUAGGGUAAGAGCUUACCGCUGAUAUGGUGACAUAUUGGGUCAAUGUAAACCCCAUCAGGAGCAACACCGAGACAAGAAGGCUAAGACUGCUCGUCAUCUUCUUAAUUUGGUGGCAUGAGAUAUAUAGCAAUAUAUAUACUAGAUAAAUGACUAUUCUAGACAGAACCCGGCUUACAGAUUUACUUA
Molecule: RNase P RNA, 339 nt
Filed under: human gut metagenome
Description: Bacterial RNase P class A
Rfam family: Bacterial RNase P class A
About the family: Ribonuclease P (RNase P) is a ubiquitous endoribonuclease, found in archaea, bacteria and eukarya as well as chloroplasts and mitochondria.
Source: RNAcentral